Molecule: transfer RNA, 77 nt
Filed under: Bacteroidaceae bacterium
Lineage: Bacteria; Pseudomonadati; Bacteroidota; Bacteroidia; Bacteroidales; Bacteroidaceae
Description: tRNA-Arg
Rfam family: tRNA
About the family: Transfer RNA (tRNA) molecules are approximately 80 nucleotides in length. Their secondary structure includes four short double-helical elements and three loops (D, anti-codon, and T loops).
Source: RNAcentral
GGCUCUGUAGCUCAACUGAAUAGAGCAUCUGACUACGGAUCAGAAGGUUGUGGGUUUGAAUCCCGCCAGAGUCACCA